Molecule: ribosomal RNA, 729 nt
Filed under: Aplanochytrium stocchinoi
Lineage: Eukaryota; Bigyra; Thraustochytrida; Thraustochytriidae
Description: partial Bacterial large subunit ribosomal RNA
Rfam family: Bacterial large subunit ribosomal RNA
Source: RNAcentral
GGGGUUGUGGGACCUUUCAGGAGGAUCUGCCGAUCCUCCAGGGAGUCAGAAAGUCGCGCCAUAGUCGAAGGGCAUUGAAAGGCCCGGCACAGAGGGUGCUACCCCCGUAGACGAAAUGACGUGACCUCCCGAAGGGUAUCCCAAGUAGCACGGGGCCCGUGAAAUCUCGUGUGAAUCUGGAGAGACCACUCUCUAAGCCUAAAUACUCCCUAGUGACCGAUAGCGGACAAGUACCGUGAGGGAAAGGUGAAAAGUACCCCUGGCGGGGAGUGAAAUAGUACCUGAAACCGUGUGCCUACAAUCCGUCGGAGCCUUGUGCCACUUGUUGGUGGGGGUGACGGCGUGCCUUUUGAAGAAUGAGCCUGCGAGUUUGCGGUGUGUUGCGAGGUUAACCCGUGUGGGGAAGCCGUAGCGAAAGCGAGUCCGAAUAGGGCGAUUCAGUAGCGCGCUCAAGACCCGAAGCUAAGUGAUCUAUCCAUGGGCAGGUUGAAGCGUCGGUAAGACGACGUGGAGGACCGAACCCACUUAGGUUGAAAACUGAGGGGAUGACCUGUGGAUAGGGGUGAAAGGCCAAUCAAACUUCGUGAUAGCUGGUUCUCCCCGAAAUGCAUUUAGGUGCAGCGUUGCGUGGUUCUUGUUGGAGGUAGAGCACUGGAUGGUCUAGGGGGCCUACAAGCUUACCGAAAUCAGCCAAACUCCGAAUGCCGGUAAGUGCGAGCGCGGCAGUGA